GAUGAACGCUAGCGGCAGGCUUAACACAUGCAAGUCGAGGGGCAGCGCGAUGUAGCAAUACAUUGGCGGCGACCGGCGCACGGGUGCGUAACACGUAUGGAACUUACCCUUUACUGGGAGAUAGCCCGGAGAAAUCCGGAUUAAUAUCCCAUAAUAAACGAAGUGGCAUCACUUUGUUUUGAAAGCUCCGGCGGUAAAGGAUGGCCAUGCGCACGAUUAGCUAGUAGGUGAGGUAACGGCUCACCUAGGCUACGAUCGUUAGGGGGCCUGAGAGGGUUAUCCCCCACACUGGUACUGAGACACGGACCAGACUCCUACGGGAGGCAGCAGUGAGGAAUAUUGCGCAAUGGAGGCAACUCUGACGCAGCCAUGCCGCGUGCAGGAAGAAGGCGCUACGCGUUGUAAACUGCUUUUAACCGGGAAGAAACCCUCCGACGUGUCGGAGGUUGACGGUACCGGAGGAAUAAGCACCGGCUAACUUCGUGCCAGCAGCCGCGGUAAUGUAUCG
Molecule: ribosomal RNA, 508 nt
Filed under: uncultured bacterium
Lineage: Bacteria
Description: bacterial SSU rRNA
Rfam family: Bacterial small subunit ribosomal RNA
Source: RNAcentral